This 277-nucleotide ribosomal RNA is filed under the name uncultured bacterium. RNAcentral's name for it is "partial 16S ribosomal RNA". It matches the Rfam family "Bacterial small subunit ribosomal RNA", at positions 28 to 302 of the family's 1533-position model. The record is from RNAcentral.
GAUGAACGCUAGCGGCAGGCCUAAUACAUGCAAGUCGUGGGGCAGCAUGAGUAGCAAUACUUGAUGGCGACCGGCAAACGGGUGCGGAACACGUACGCAACCUUCCUUUAACUGGAGAAUAGCCCCUCGAAAGAGGGAUUAAUGCUCCGUAACAUAUAGAAAAGGCAUCUUUUUUAUAUUAUAGCUCCGGCGGUUAAAGAUGGGCGUGCGGCUGAUUAGGUAGUUGGUAGGGUAAUGGCCUACCAAGCCAACGAUCAGUAACUGGCGUGAGAGCGCG